RNAcentral lists this microRNA precursor (52 nucleotides) under Equus asinus (donkey). RNAcentral describes it as "mir-1302 microRNA precursor family". It matches the Rfam family "mir-1302 microRNA precursor family". The record is from Rfam by way of RNAcentral. RNAcentral also lists the same sequence under 1 other name. Lineage: Eukaryota; Metazoa; Chordata; Mammalia; Perissodactyla; Equidae.
UUUUGAGUAUAAAUAUGUUCCAUGCAAUUUUUAGGAUAUACUUAUACUCAAA